GUUGACGCGUUCAACUGCGCAUGCGUUGGUACGAUAACUUGGGCGUUCCAUGGACGUUCCACUUCCUACUGCUACACCAGCCAACCGUGUGCAGAGUGAACCGCGCGCGGUAGAGACUACGUCCGGAGAACCCCAAAGCUUGCUGUAAACUUCAUCCCUGAUGAAUUCCUUGUGGAUGACAUAAGGACAGUUUGUGGUCAGCGGCACCUUCUAUUUUCUACACCUGAGCAAUUAGAUGUGCUGUCCAAGGCAAAGAAAUGGUACAUAGAUGCCGCAUUUAAAAUCGUAAGGGAACCAUUUCGGCAGCUCCUGUCCAUACAUGCCUUUCUGAGGAGAGGGAGUGACACAAAGCAAGUGCCUUUAGCAUUUGUAUUAAUGUCUAGACGCCGUAAGAAAGACUACAAAAAGGUUCUCAAGAGCAUCACGCGAAAAUUACCCGUGGAACCCGCCGUUGUGAGCUGUGUUGCCGAUUUCGAAAGAGGAAUUUGGCACGCCAUGAGGAGAGUUUUCCCACAAGCCACGAUGAUGAGUUGCGCAUUCCAGUGGUGCCAGGCUGUGUGGAGGAAGGCCUGUGAUCUCGGUCUGAGAACCGCACAUCUGCGCCACGAAGGGGUUCACAGAUAUAAUAAAAAUGUGUUUGGCACUCCCCUUCCUCCCUGCUGACCAUAUCAGGGAAGCCUUUCUUUCCUUGGAAAGCCAGGCUUCUUCUUCAUUACUGAGAGGCCUUGUCAAGUACAUCAAGGCCAGCUGUGGCACCUCCAGAGUCAUGGAGUGUAUAUGACCAGACCAUCCGCACAAAUAAUAAUACUGAAGGGUGGCACAGAAAAAUAAAUGGGAAAAUUACUUAUGAAUCACCCACAGUUUACUAACUCGUAAAAUUCCUGCACGAGGAAGCCAAAUCAUUAAACCUGCAGAUGCGUUCGGUGUCUGAGAAAAAAAAAAUUGUAAAAAUUCAAAGGAAGAAAUCAAGGUGUAUACAAGGAAAAAUAUUUGCCUUAUUUAUGGGAACGUUAUGCAGCAGGACGCAUAUCAACAUCAAACUUAUUGCGCGUUCAUUCGCUAAUGUGUAUGCACCUAUUUGAAUGUCUGUGUGUGUGUGUAUGUGUGUGUGUGUGUGUGUGUGUGUGUGUGUGUGUGUGUGUGUGUGUGUGUGUGUGUGACAGCAGGAUAUGUAAAGUUGCGGACAUAUGAAAUAUAAAUUUUUCCUCCACUAGCAAUGUGAGGAGCACAGUUAUUGUAAACUAUGUCCAGACGUCGUUACGAGUUUCAUCAAUCGUAAUUCGUUUCCAUGAAACUUGUGACAAUGUCUGGACAUAAUAGUUUACAAUAAGAGUGGUCCUCACACUACUAGUGGAAGAGAAGUGUCUGUUUUAUGUGUUCGACACUAAUACUUGCGGUGCAAAAAUAAAGUAAUUUUUAUUUCGUUUUGAGUAUUGUGCAAAUAAAUUUAUUUGAUUGUAUAUUUUGCCUUUAUUUAUUUUCUAUUAAUGAAU
This is a long non-coding RNA of Portunus trituberculatus (swimming crab), 1493 nucleotides long. RefSeq lists it as uncharacterized. NCBI's taxonomy places the organism in Eukaryota, Metazoa, Arthropoda, Malacostraca, Decapoda, Portunidae. The transcript has 4 exons. The record is from RefSeq and is a predicted model, not a curated record.